RNAcentral lists this ribosomal RNA (253 nucleotides) under uncultured bacterium. RNAcentral's name for it is "partial 16S ribosomal RNA". It matches the Rfam family "Bacterial small subunit ribosomal RNA", at positions 524 to 776 of the family's 1533-position model. The record is from RNAcentral.
UACGUAGGGACCGAGCGUUGUCCGGAAUCAUUGGGCGUAAAGAGCGUGUAGGCGGCUAUUUAAGUCCUGCGUGAAAUCCUGCGGCUCAACCGCAGACGGUCGUGGGAAACUGGAUGGCUAGAGUGCGGGAGAGGAGAGUGGAAUUCCCGGUGUAGCGGUGAAAUGCGCAGAUAUCGGAAAGAACACCCGUGGCGAAGGCGGCUCUCUGGAACGCAACUGACGCUGAGACGCGAAAGCGUGGGGAGCAAACAGG